This 317-nucleotide ribosomal RNA is filed under the name Bdellovibrio sp. RNAcentral's name for it is "bacterial SSU rRNA". It matches the Rfam family "Bacterial small subunit ribosomal RNA", at positions 1160 to 1476 of the family's 1533-position model. Lineage: Bacteria; Pseudomonadati; Bdellovibrionota; Bdellovibrionia; Bdellovibrionales; Pseudobdellovibrionaceae. The record is from RNAcentral.
UAACUGGAGGAAGGUGGGGAUGACGUCAAGUCCUCAUGGCCCUUAUGCCUAGGGCUACACACGUGCUACAAUGGUAGUCACAGAGCGAAGCUAAGCCGCGAGGUAGAGCAAAUCGCUUAAAAGCUAUCUAAGUUCAGAUUGAUCUCUGCAACUCGAGAUCAUGAAGUUGGAAUCGCUAGUAAUCGCGGAUCAGAAUGCCGCGGUGAAUACGUUCCCGGGCCUUGUACACACCGCCCGUCACACCAUGAAAGUUGGCUGUACCAGAAGUCGCUGCGCUAACCGCAAGGAGGCAGGCGCCCAAGGUAUGGUCGAUGAUU